GACGAACGCUGGCGGCGUGCCUAAUACAUGCAAGUCGAACGCUUUGAUUUUCACCGGAGCUUGCUCCACCGAAAAUCAAAGAGUGGCGGACGGGUGAGUAACACGUGGGCAACCUGCCCAACAGAGGGGGAUAACACUUGGAAACAGGUGCUAAUACCGCAUAAUUUGUUUUCCCGCAUGGGAGAAUAAUAAAAGACGCUUCGGUGUCACUGUUGGAUGGGCCCGCGCUGCAUUAGUUAGUUGGUGGGGUAAUGGCCUACCAAGACCGUGAUGCAUAGCCGACCUGAGAGGGUGAUCGGCCACACUGGGACUGAGACACGGCCCAGACUCCUACGGGAGGCAGCAGUAGGGAAUCUUCGGCAAUGGACGAAAGUCUGACCGAGCAACGCCGCGUGAGUGAAGAAGGUUUUCGGAUCGUAAAACUCUGUUGUUAGAGAAGAACAAGUGGGAGAGUAACUGUUCCCACCUUGACGGUAUCUAACCAGAAAGCCACGGCUAACUACGUGCCAGCAGCCGCGGUAAUACGUAGGUGGCAAGCGUUGUCCGGAUUUAUUGGGCGUAAAGCGAGCGCAGGCGGUUUCUUAAGUCUGAUGUGAAAGCCCUCGGCUCAACCGAGGAAGGUCAUUGGAAACUGGGGAGCUUGAAUGCAGAAGAGGAGAGUGGAAUUCCAUGUGUAGCGGUGAAAUGCGUAGAUAUAUGGAGGAACACCAGUGGCGAAGGCGACUCUCUGGUCUGUAAUUGACGCUGAGGCUCGAAAGCGUGGGGAGCAAACAGG
Molecule: ribosomal RNA, 775 nt
Filed under: uncultured bacterium
Lineage: Bacteria
Description: bacterial SSU rRNA
Rfam family: Bacterial small subunit ribosomal RNA
Source: RNAcentral